UACGUAGGGGGCAAGCGUUGUCCGGAAUCAUUGGGCGUAAAGCGCGUGUAGGCGGUCCGGUAAGUCCGCUGUGAAAGUCGGGGGCUCAACCCUCGGAUGCCGGUGGAUACUGUCGGGCUUGAGUACGGAAGAGGCGAGUGGAAUUCCUGGUGUAGCGGUGAAAUGCGCAGAUAUCAGGAGGAACACCAAUGGCGAAGGCAGCUCGCUGGGACGUGACUGACGCUGAGACGCGAAAGCGUGGGGAGCAAACAGG
Molecule: ribosomal RNA, 253 nt
Filed under: uncultured bacterium
Lineage: Bacteria
Description: partial 16S ribosomal RNA
Rfam family: Bacterial small subunit ribosomal RNA
Source: RNAcentral